AAUUGUCACACAGGUUCCCAUAGAAGAAAUGGUUUCCAGAAUGCAGAAGUGGGCCAUGAUGCCAGAUGUUGCAGAAAGAGCAAAUAAGGGGAUAGAACAGGAAGACAUAAGCACCGGCAUGGGCCUAUUCCACAGCCAAGGCAGGGAGAACAUCCCAGGGCAGAAAGGAAAGCCUAAAGCUACAGCCUGUUCCUCUAGUUCUUAGAACAGCUGGUUACUGAGCUCUCAG
Molecule: long non-coding RNA, 229 nt
Organism: Pan troglodytes (chimpanzee)
Lineage: Eukaryota; Metazoa; Chordata; Mammalia; Primates; Hominidae
Exons: 3
Source: RefSeq, a predicted model, not a curated record